Molecule: long non-coding RNA, 540 nt
Organism: Mesocricetus auratus (golden hamster)
Lineage: Eukaryota; Metazoa; Chordata; Mammalia; Rodentia; Cricetidae
Exons: 3
Source: RefSeq, a predicted model, not a curated record
UAACAGAAAGGAGAGUGAAUCUGGUGGUCGUAAAAGAGGAGAAGAAGAAUGAAAUUUACAAGUGAGCCCAGGAUAAACAUGAGCAUAGAAUUACAGGGAAAGGAUAAUCUGUGAAGGAGAAACAGGAAGAUAAGCAGGAAUAAGGUAUUUAAAGAUCAAAAUAUUGAGAACUCUCAAUGAAUCUUCCUCAGGAAUUACCUUAUUUACACCACACAGGGAUAUAUGCAGCAACCGUAUCAAGGCUUAUGGUCGUGAAGAUAAAAAACAGAACUAACGCAGAAAAUUCCCACAGAUGAACCAUAGUCCUUGCCAUGGAAUGAGCCUCCUACUGUGUCAACUUUGAUGAAGAGUGGGCACAGAAGCACAAUGUAUAUUUUCCUUUGAGAUGAUUUGGGAAGUUCAAAUCCAGUUGUCACAGAACUUUGUAUUAUUUCUACCAGUUUUUGUCUUUAUGACACUGGAGAAAUCAAUUUCCUCAUUGUUUUAUCUGCCUUGCUGAGUUGUAAGUGUAAAUUGGUUAAUAAACAUUAGUGGCUAUAA